GACAUUAUUAAAUUUACAUUUUAAUUUACACAAAACAAAACAAGACUACAAGUUACAAAUACGCUCGUUUUAACGAAUAUUUUACAUCAAAUUUAAUAUACAUUUGGAUAUAUAUAGUUUUAAACAGACUUUGAGUGAUUUAUUGUUCGGUUAACUAUCAUUGCAUUGUUCGUGUUUUUGUCUUUAAUAUAAUGUUCAACUCAUAAAAACCGAUGAAUUAUACUUAGGUUAGGUUAUACUUAUAUUUAUACGUCGUCGUCGGUUUUUUGAUCUCUUAGUUUAAUUGUUCGUCACGAUCACUCAGUGCUAAUAUUAUAUAAUAUACGAUCGCGAGACUGCAGAAACAACUUCAGUUUGAGAGUUUCAUAAAAUUCAAACUAUGCGUUUUAUUGCGCAACCCAAUACACAGAAUAAUACAAUAAGAACAUGAUGUUUUCCCGUCGUGAUUAAGACGAAGAAAAAACUUGAAUAAAUGCGAUUUCAAUGACCGUUUCCGAAUCCACCAGUAUACAUUAUGUUAAAUAUUCGAUAAAUAAUUACUAUUUA
Molecule: non-coding RNA, 546 nt
Organism: Cinara cedri
Lineage: Eukaryota; Metazoa; Arthropoda; Insecta; Hemiptera; Aphididae
Source: the annotation of a GenBank genome assembly